Acanthosepion pharaonis is the source of this 95-nucleotide non-coding RNA. The record is from the annotation of a GenBank genome assembly. Lineage: Eukaryota; Metazoa; Mollusca; Cephalopoda; Sepiida; Sepiidae.
UGCAGCACCAGUUCUCGUAUGAUCCCCGAAGUUAAGCAACAUUGAGCCUGGUCAGUACCUAGAUGGGUAACCACUUGGGAAUACCAACUGCUGUA